RNAcentral lists this long non-coding RNA (438 nucleotides) under Androctonus crassicauda. The record is from RNAcentral. Lineage: Eukaryota; Metazoa; Arthropoda; Arachnida; Scorpiones; Buthidae.
CCUUCAUAUCAUCAAAAACCAUUCGAAUAAAAACACAUAAUUGUACUCCGUUACUUAUUAACUGCAACAACCAAUUGCCCUAAAACUUCUAUAAACACGACAGCACUAUCUGCAGUAUGGUUCACAAACCUCCAAAAAGCCUCUUUUCGGCUAACGUUUUCGAUGUUAACUUAACAUCCUCUUCAGGCCGACAAAAACAUUCCAUAACGAAAUCAAAGACCUUUAGGCAUACUAAUGUAAUGUCCAAUAUAAUAUUUUGCUUCUCUGCUGUUAAUAAAUCAUUAAUAUCAGUCUUAUAUAAUUUCAAAUCUACAAUAUUUUAUCAUUUACUCAAUAAUGUAAAUGAUAUUAUUAAUGUUCUAGAAACUAUAAGACAAAAGCACCAUUUUUUCUUCUUCUAGAUUUAGAAAAAGAAAUCAAGAAAAAAUUCAAGUAAUU